This 797-nucleotide ribosomal RNA is filed under the name Escherichia coli. RNAcentral describes it as "partial 23S ribosomal RNA". It matches the Rfam family "Bacterial large subunit ribosomal RNA", at positions 1 to 832 of the family's 2925-position model. The record is from RNAcentral. Lineage: Bacteria; Pseudomonadati; Pseudomonadota; Gammaproteobacteria; Enterobacterales; Enterobacteriaceae.
GGGUUGUGAGGUUAAGUGACUAAGCGUACACGGUGGAUGCCUAGGCAGUCAGAGGCGAUGAAGGGCGUGCUAAUCUGCGAAAAGCGUCGGUAAGGUGAUAUGAACCGUUAUAACCGGCGAUACCCGAAUGGGGAAACCCAGUGUGUUUCGACACACUAUCAUGUCAUGAAUACAUAGUGGCAUGAGGCGAACCGGGGGAACUGAAACAUCUAAGUACCCCGAGGAAAAGAAAUCAACCGAGAUUCCCCCAGUAGCGGCGAGCGAACGGGGAGGAGCCCAGAACCUGAAUCGGCUUGUGUGUUAGUGGAAGCGUCUGGAAAGUCGCGCAGCAAAGGGUGAUAGCCCCGUACACUAAAAUGCACAGGUCGUGAGUUCGAUGAGUAGGGCGGGACACGUGACAUCCUGUCUGAAUAUGGGGGGACCAUCCUCCAAGGCUAAAUACUCCUGACUGACCGAUAGUGAACCAGUACCGUGAGGGAAAGGCGAAAAGAACCCCGGCGAGGGGAGUGAAAUAGAACCUGAAACCGUGUACGUACAAGCAGUGGGAGCACCUUCGUGGUGUGACUGCGUACCUUUUGUAUAAUGGGUCAGCGACUUAUAUUUUGUAGCAAGGUUAACCGUAUAGGGGAGCCGUAGGGAAACCGAGUCUUAACUGGGCGAUUAGUUGCAAGGUAUAGACCCGAAACCCGGUGAUCUAGCCAUGGGCAGGUUGAAGGUUGGGUAACACUAACUGGAGGACCGAACCGACUAAUGUUGAAAAAUUAGCGGAUGACUUGUGGCUGGGGGUGAAAGGCCAA